Molecule: long non-coding RNA, 3297 nt
Filed under: Daphnia pulicaria
Lineage: Eukaryota; Metazoa; Arthropoda; Branchiopoda; Diplostraca; Daphniidae
Description: uncharacterized LOC124350347, transcript variant X3
Source: RNAcentral
UGACAAUAGAAUAUAAACUUAAGUUUGCUUCUAUCUUCGUACGAUUGUGUUAUGGAUUUAUUGUUAUUUAGAUUGCAAAGUAGAAAUGACACAGACACACAGUAAUUUUAUUGUUUAAGAUUAAAUUCUGUUGGUGUGGCCGUGUGGGGCAGAAAGUGCAUCAACAAAUUUCUGAGAAAACAGCAAGUUUUUGUGUUGGAUGUUAUUGGUGAGGAAUGUGGUGGUUCAUACUGCAACUAUUACCUCAAAUGACCAACAACUGUGAUAGCGGUGACAGAAUCAGUUUAAUUCUAUGCACAUUCACAAUUCACUGCUUCAUAAAAAUAUUAGCAAGAGCCAAUAAAUAUAGAAUGCACCACAUUACCGUUAUGCAAAUAUUUUAAAACAGGAUGUUAAGUUCAACUCUUGAAAGCUGGGAAUGCUGCAUCAGUUUUGUUCAACCUCAGAAGGACUGAACAUCUCAGAUUUACCAAUCCUCCAACUGAGUGACCAUCAACAGGCAAUGAGACAGUGCAGUCAGUAUUGCCACAAAGUCUGCACACAUCAGUGUCAACAUCAAGACCAGACAUGGAAUAACUUUACCUCUCGUUCCAUUUGGAUGCGGGAAUUGAUCUGAAUCAACGACCACUUAAUCACUACCGUUAAUUAAGAAUAAUUAGAAACAACCGGUGUUGGACCAUGUUGGGCAAUGGGCAUCCAUUCGACAAACAGCACGAUGACCAGCAGCACUUAAUACAACUCUUUUACGAAGUCGACUCAAGUACGAUCAUAAACGACUCGAGACUACUACGACUCGAGACUAUUCCAAUUCAUCAACUGCCUGAUGAAGAUUAUUUAAUGGUCCUGGGACCACGAACUUACUCGCCCGUUUAGUGCGCCGAUUCGCCAGUUAUUUGUUUGGUCGUUUGUAUCGCAUCGGACUCAAACAUCAUCGCAAUUAACCGAAACUAGGACGCUAUUUUAAUGCCGGGAGUGACCAAAGAUAUUCUACCGGUGCUGGAUCGUGGAUCGAAUCAUUCGUUCGGCUGAGGAAUAUCUCGAUUUUUUCGGAUGACCUGGCGCAACAACUCACAGAUCUCGUCCAGGGUCAACUCGCUUAUUCCAUUUCCAUCCCGCCAUUCUGAGAUCCAGCGAAGAAAACUUUUACUCCUCAGAUGAAUUUUCCUAUGUCGUACUAAAUGAGAUGGUUGUCCCCCAUUCGACAUCGGAUGCCACUGCUUCCAGUCAAUCUGCUGGACAGUAUUCCGGCUUAACAGAUUCAUUUCUCAGAUUGUGUGAUUGUUUGAAAUUGCGGUGAACUUAUUUGUUUGUUAUUUUGUUUGUUUUCUGCUCUUCGUCUUUGUUGUGGAGCGUCUAGAGUAGCAAAUCAAUGUCAAACAGUUGGCGUAUUGGCCCAGCCGAUGCCACUGGAGAAAGUCUGAUUGGCGGCGAUCGUGCGUCCACGGCCAGUUUUAGUGAUGGUAAGUCAGAGAACGCUGCCGUAAUUGUUGUCAUAAAAGUGGUGAUUUAUGACUCCGGCCCCUUUAGUUAAAUUUCGUCUUCAGAAACCAAAAGGUUUUCCAUUCAGGGUUCCCCAUCUCUCAUACCGGUCUGUUACAGCAGUAUUCAACGGCGUACAACGACUAAUUUUUAUAUCAAGGUUUUUUUCUUUUAAAUGCUGCAGUGCAGCAAUGUUAGUAGUUUUGUGAGUAAAAGUUGAUUGGGGAAGUAUUGGGUUAGUACAUGCAUGGUUUUAUAUAUUAUAAGAACAGACAUGGGAAACAUUGGGAAGCAAUAGAGGGGUGUCACUUGGAAGGAGUAGGAAAUGAACCUGGGGCCUUUCUUAUCAUCACUAGGGGCCGCAACCAUUACACAGUGGUCUUACAUCCAAUUUGAUAAAUCUCCGGAAUUUUAUCUGAUCCUUUAAAGGGUUGGUUGAGAAUGCUGUGGAAUGUUUCAAUUUAGGCUGCACAGGAGGUAGCCAUUGGUUAUAUCUCCAAAUCGUCACGAGUUACGUGUUUGAAUGUUGUCGGGAAAAUGUAGGACUAAGAGGGUAAGAAGCAGAAGUACAGACUGCAGAGAACUCUGUGGCAUCGUCCAGAAAAAUGCGAAUACAUAAAAAAAGAAACGUAUUAAGUUACAAUUUUAUUUUCAACGGGAUGUUUACAUCAAUUAGCAUGAUUUCAUUUAUAGCUGAAAUGUUAGCAACGUUACUAUAAACGCGUAUCGAAGAGGACGUUACAUAGAGUGUUUAAGGAUUGAUCUAUAUUCUAUAGUAGUGUUGGUAGUUCUAAAUGGGCACAUUAUACGUGACUAUUUCAGUCUUCAUUCUGUAGUGUUGUGUUGGCAAUGGAGAAGUAUGUUUGUCUGAUUUGUGUUCUGGUCAUCUGUGUGGACAGUCGGUUUGACUGAGUGUUUGCUUGUCGAGGUUGUUUUUAGUCCCUCGUGCGCUGAACUCUUGCUUUUAUACGGCAGUAUAAAACUAAAUCAAUAAAUGUGUAAUUAAAAAUAACUUGUGCCUAGUUUGUGUUUUGUUUUUACUUUUCGGGUGUUACAGGAUGCAGACAUUGUGGAUUGAUCACCGUUUGGAGUUAAGUAUUUGGCUGUUGGUGAUGUGUUCGCCGUUUUGUUAUGUGAGAAGAUAAUUAUUUAGUGAAGACCAUUACGAGAAAACGUAGCCUACCGUCGACUAUUUUGUUCAAUAUGUGCUAUUUAAAUGACACACUGACAGGAUUCAUCAUAAUUAUCUGCUGUAAGAAUUGGACUUGCUAGAUCACCAACCCCAUCACGGACCAAUCUCUCAUUCCAUUUUCUAGAACCUUGGCUAACUGUUUGGUGGUUUGAUGUGUUUGAAACUAUAGGUUUCUAAAUUUGCAUGACAGACUAUAAGAAAAGUCAUGGAAAAAGGACUGUCUGACAGUCAACAAGGUAUGCUAUCUUGUUUGGUAACCUGUUGACUACUUAUAGAGAUUCUUCCUUUUUACUUUCUUAAGCUUGAUUUGAGGGUAACUCCUUCGCUACUUAUCAUGGACUUCAUCCUUUGGUGAUGCUAUAAUUCAAAAGAAUGCUGUCAUUCAAGACUAAUAAAUUGUGUAGUUGUUAGAUAAAAUAAGUACAUAUAUAUGGGCUCCCUCGCUAACCAUUGGCUGGGUAAUCCCCCUGUCUUGAUUGACUGUAUGUGCGAGUUUUAAAAGCAGUUUAUCACCCAAAUGAGACAAAAGAAGUAUGCCAGUUUGUUUUACUUGGGUAUAAAUUGUUUUAAAAUUUGCACAGAAAAACAUGUCUUGUUCCGGACGCUUUUUUUAUUGAAUUUCAACA